This is a long non-coding RNA of Felis catus (domestic cat), 1534 nucleotides long. RefSeq lists it as uncharacterized. The record is from RefSeq and is a predicted model, not a curated record. NCBI's taxonomy places the organism in Eukaryota, Metazoa, Chordata, Mammalia, Carnivora, Felidae. The transcript is spliced from 2 exons.
AGAUUGGUAAAAACUACCCUCUUUUCCUUUCAAUUUCCAGGUAGUCCACGAUAGGCAUUUAGUACCCUAAUAGAAUUUAAGUGCUUUGCCUGGGUCACGGCCUGGGUCAGUCCUGGAAUUCAAAGUUAACCUGAGGGCGAACAGGAGAAGAGCAGGGUCCCAGCAGGGAAAAUGAGCCGUGAGUCGUACUUAGCCUUUAAAAUCAAACAUCACUUAAGAAGUCGCUGUGGGAUGAUCUGCUGUCCCAGGACAAUACAGGCAGUGCCUUCUUUCCCUCCCCUCGUGGUGGCUGAUUACCAGAGCUCACAAAAUGGGAUGGGUAUUUGACCUCCAGGCUGCUGUUCCCCUGCUGGGUACUCCCUCCCAGCAGCUGGCAUAGCUCAGGGAGAGCACUUGGCCUACCCGAUGUAGGCUGGUUGUUCUCUUAAUUCCUGUCUCCCAACAGAGAGCUAGGGAGCUGGUCUGGGAGGCAGGGGUGGGGCUCAGGUAGAAUUCCCUCCCAGGGGUAAGGGAUCAGGGGCUGCGGUGUGCCAGGCUUAGGAGACGUGAGCACGAGUAAGGUCUGGUCUCCUCCUCUGAGGGUCCCGUGGUUGAGCGGAAGACGUAACCUAGUCCUUGGACGAAAUGCAACAAAUCAGAGAGAAGAAACCAGGAUGAGGGGCAUCUUACCCAGCACGGGGGCAAUCAGCAGAUGCUUCUCAGAGGAGCUGGGGACUCAGGCCAGACCUCUGAGAGGGGACCCGAAGUGAAGGCCUGUUUUGAGGUGGGUGUGCGUCAAACACAGACCACCAGAAACCGGAUCCAGUCCGCAGGCUUCUGCAGCGUUCCCAGCUGUGCCCUGAGGAUGCAGGGACGAAAAGAUGAAAAGAUGCUCAGGGCGGCUCACUGUGGACAGGAGUGUUCAACCAAUCCCCCAUCGGGGCUCUGGGGCCCGAACCGCAGGCUCUACUGACGCAGUCAGUGGGGAACAGAAGCCAUCUCGCUGCCGGGCCGGAAACACCUUCUCACCUUCCUGGUCAGGCCAGCCUGGGCUCAGGGGCCAGCGCUGGAACUCAAAGCCGUGGCAGAGCGCUGGCUGACCCCUUAGUUGACAGGUAGCCUGUCCCCUGGGGUGGCCCCAGCCCUUGGAUCCUGCCUCUUUCCGGGUCCUCCGGGCCAGCCCCUCAGCCCGGCCAACAGGGCUCCCCAGAAGUGGCCCUGAGGUACGAGCUAGUUCUGGACCGCCCUGAUGUCCUCCCUUCUGCCAUUUUGCUGGUGGAACCCUCUGUUCUUUCUCCGGUCCCGUCUCUGCUCAGCCCCAAACCUAUACUCAGAUGAGCGCCCUUGGACGUGGUAGUUGAGACAUCUCAGGCUGCUUGUUGGGACAUCUCACGCUGCCUGUUCCCUCGUUCCCUCACCAGAGGGCGCGCUCCUUACCACCUGCCCGGUUGACCAGAAUCCAAAGAGGACAGACACAGCUCUCUUAUUAGAGCCUCAGCGCCUAGAAGAGGCACGUGGUAGGCCCUCAGAAAUAAAGUGAUGGAUUGAAACAGUG